CUUGUGUAUCAAGAAUUCUUUUUAGUGUUUUUUUUUUUUUUUGCUGAAAAGAAUUCUUUUUAGUUAUUUCAAGCAGUUUUGUUCUUAGUUUCCCUUUGUGACACUAGUGCUUCAUGUUCUGAAGUUUGAUAUAGCAUGUGAAGUUGCAGAGUUGUGAUUGAUGAAUUGAGUCAAUUUUAAUAGGAAAAAGUUGGAGAUUUACUUCUGAUUUAUUUAGCAAAAUUUGGAGUCAGGAGCCAAGUUCUUGUCAACUGUUCGCAAAGCAAGCUGUACUGAUGUAGAAAAUGCAGCUGUGAGAUAUGAACACACACAUAUCUAUAUAUUUCCUCUAACUAAUAGUAGUACUGAUAUAUAAACAUUGCAGAAAAUGGCGAAUGCACAUGAUUUUAUCUCAACAUUUCUGGACAAAGAAUAGCUAUUGCAAGAGCACUCCUGGUAAACUCAAGAAGCCUUCUUUUUGGAUGAUGCUGGUAGUGCUCUUGAUGCUCAAAGUGAAUAUCUAGUUCAGGAUACCAUGGAUUCUCUAAUGAAGGAAAGCACCGUCUUUGUCUUUGUCAUAGCUCAUUGUCCAAUGUCAAAACAGCAGACACCAUGGCUGUUGUUUCUGAGGGACAAACAGUUGAAAGUGAUACUCAUCAGAAGCUACUCUCGAAUCGUGGUAUUUAUACUUGUUUGGAGGCAAUUUACAAGGAACUUGAGAAAUAAUCUGAACUUGAAUUACUAUUGUAGAAGACAAGUUAAAAUAAAAACAAUUUCAUAAAUAAGUUUCCCUCUAUUCUGUUAGUUCCUUGCCUCUUUGAAAGUUUUGGAAAUUCCUCUACUGAAUUUCCUACUUCAAACUAUUAUAUUUUAAGGUUGGUUAUAAUCCUCCUUUUUUUUUUGUCCCUUUAAACCCUUUUUACAGUUGAGUUGAUGAAUGUCAAUAAAUUACAUCUGUUAAGUAAACGAAACAAUAAUAGUAUUAGGUUCCUAUCAUUAUUAUAAAUGAUAAAUGUGUAGUUUGCAAUAAAAAUAACUAUAAUUAUCAAACAUAUUAAAGAUCAUUAAUAAUGAACUAAAUUCGUUAAUAUACAUCAAGGAAACAAAAUGCUCUUAUUUUCUAUUUUACACAUUACAGAAUAAACUAAUUUUGCUUCUUGUAUGGUACAUUUACUAAACAGUACAUCUACUGUCAUGAAAGGCUAUAAAAAAAUAAAUUAAUGUAUCAAAAAUUCAAAGCUAGGUCUGCGUUAAGCAGAAAGAGGCAACCUGAAGGUAUAUAUCUUCUUUAAGCCUUCGUGGUUGGUAGACUCUUUCUUUACAAGCAGCAGAAGAAAGAGAGAAAACGUCUGCAAUAUGCAUUAGAUAUGUACAAAGAGAAAAAAGAGAAACUCUCUUUUGAACAAAUGUACAGCAAUACCUUGGGUGAGAACUUUUGAUGAUGAAGCAAGAAAUAAAUUUUUUUAUGUGCAUCAAAGGACUUCAGGCUUGAAUUCAAAGCGUUUGGACUGUGCUUCAAUCCUGGCUGUGUAUCCUACUGUGGUGGGCCUAAUUGAUCUUUGCCUCACAAUAUGACAGAACUCAGGAUCAUCCAAUUGCCCAUCUUUUCUCAUCCACUGAAUCAUCUGAUGGUAUGUGGGGAAGAAUCUUAUUUGGAUGGAUGCAUAAGUGAAGUAAGGAGCAAGGGAUGCAAUUAACACAAAGAGGGUUAUAAGCCAGUAAGAUGGAGAUGGUGCACAUGCUUCAAUGAAGACUUGAUAGGCAGUGGUUGAGAGGGAUGGGGUCAAGGCUCCAUAUGCCAAUUGGAAAAUGUACCAAAAUGCAAUGCCACCCCAUAUGAAGAGAUGUUGUAUGUAUGUGAAAUAGUUGACGGACAGUGCCAUUUGACAGUUGACAACACACACUACACAAGUGUACAUGGUGGUUCCAAGGAUAUCCAAGCUAGCUACUUCUCCACCGUUGCGGAAUGCUUGACUCUCCAUAGCUUGGUUGCAGAAGAAGAAGAUCAAGACGGCACUUAGUAACCCGUUAAAAGCCCAUCCUAGUAUCCGGAGCCAGCUAAAGAGGAUGUUUUGUACACCUUCUUGAUAUAGUAAUGGGAACUGUGAAAUGAAAAUAAAGAGCAUUAGAUUAGAUGUUAAAUAAAUUGAAAUAUAAUUCUUCUUUUAAGUUUAUGUGUAUUUUUAGUUUCUUUUUUCUUUC
Molecule: long non-coding RNA, 2181 nt
Organism: Cannabis sativa
Lineage: Eukaryota; Viridiplantae; Streptophyta; Magnoliopsida; Rosales; Cannabaceae
Exons: 2
Source: RefSeq, a predicted model, not a curated record